GUGGGGAAUAUUGGGCAAUGGGGGAAACCCUGACCCAGCGACGCCGCGUGAGGGAAGAAGGCCUUAGGGUCGUAAACCUCUGUUGUGUGGGAAGAAGAGCGUGACGGUACCACACGAGGAAGUCCCGGCUAACUACGUGCCAGCAGCCGCGGUAAUACGUAGGGGACGAGCGUUGUCCGGAUUUACUGGGCGUAAAGGGCGCGUAGGCGGUCAUUUAAGUCAGCUGUGAAAUGGUUUGGGUUAACCGGAUCAUGCGGUUGAAACUGGAUGACUGGAGUGCUGGAGAGGCAAGUGGAAUUCCCAGUGUAGCGGUGAAAUGCGUAGAUAUUGGGAAGAACACCGGUGGCGAAGGCGACUUGCUGGCCAGCAACUGACGCUGAGGCGCGAAAGCCAGGGGAGCAAACGGGAUUAGAAACCCGGGUAGUCC
Molecule: ribosomal RNA, 427 nt
Filed under: uncultured bacterium
Lineage: Bacteria
Description: partial 16S ribosomal RNA
Rfam family: Bacterial small subunit ribosomal RNA
Source: RNAcentral